RNAcentral lists this ribosomal RNA (314 nucleotides) under uncultured bacterium. Its description in RNAcentral is "partial 16S ribosomal RNA". It matches the Rfam family "Bacterial small subunit ribosomal RNA", at positions 499 to 807 of the family's 1533-position model. The record is from RNAcentral.
UUAUAAGAGACAGCAGUAGCCACGGUAAUACGUAGGUGGCAAGCGUUGUCCGGAAUUAUUGGGCGUAAAGGGCUCGCAGGCGGUUUCUUAAGUCUGAUGUGAAAGCCCCCGGCUCAACCGGGGAGGGUCAUUGGAAACUGGGAAACUUGAGUGCAGAAGAGGAGAGUGGAAUUCCACGUGUAGCGGUGAAAUGCGUAGAGAUGUGGAGGAACACCAGUGGCGAAGGCGACUCUCUGGUCUGUAACUGACGCUGAGGAGCGAAAGCGUGGGGAGCGAACAGGAUUAGAUACCCCCGUAGUCCCUGUCUCUUAUAC